GACGAGCGCUGGCGGCGUGCUUAACACAUGCAAGUCGAACGGAAAGGCCCCCACCUUGGUGGGGGUGCUCGAGUGGCGAACGGGUGAGUAACACGUGGGUGAUCUGCCCUGUACUUCGGGAUAAGCUUGGGAAACUGGGUCUAAUACCGGAUAGGACCAUGGUUUAGUGUCUCAUGGUGGAAAAAUUAUUGUUUUGGUGCAGGAUGAGCUCGCGGCCUAUCAGCUUGUUGGUGGGGUAAUGGCCUACCAAGGCGUCGACGGGUAGCCGGCCUGAGAGGGUGGACGGCCAAAUUGGGAAUGAGAUACGGCCCAGACUCCUACGGGAGGCAGCAGUGGGGAAUAGUGCACAAUGGGCGCAAGCCUGAUGCAGCGACGCCGCGUGGGGGAUGACGGCCUUCGGGUUGUAAACUCCUUUCGUUAGGGACGAAGCCACACCUUUUUUGGGUGUGGUGACGGUACCUUUGUUAAGAAGCACCGGCUAACUACGUG
RNAcentral lists this ribosomal RNA (489 nucleotides) under uncultured bacterium. RNAcentral's name for it is "partial 16S ribosomal RNA". It matches the Rfam family "Bacterial small subunit ribosomal RNA", at positions 28 to 507 of the family's 1533-position model. The record is from RNAcentral.